Molecule: small nuclear RNA, 104 nt
Organism: Nycticebus coucang (slow loris)
Lineage: Eukaryota; Metazoa; Chordata; Mammalia; Primates; Lorisidae
Source: RefSeq, a predicted model, not a curated record
UUUGACAACACAUAUAUUAUACUAAAUUUGGAAAAAUACAGAGAUGAUUAGGCUGGCCCCUAUGCAAGGAUGACAUGCAUAUUCAAGAAGCAUUCCAUAUUUUU